UCCUCGGUAGUAUAGUGGUGAGUAUUCCCGCCUGUCACGCGGGAAGCCGGGGUUCAAUUCCCCGCCGGGGAG
This 72-nucleotide transfer RNA is filed under the name Daphnia pulex (common water flea). RNAcentral's name for it is "tRNA-Asp". It matches the Rfam family "tRNA". Rfam says of the family: Transfer RNA (tRNA) molecules are approximately 80 nucleotides in length. Lineage: Eukaryota; Metazoa; Arthropoda; Branchiopoda; Diplostraca; Daphniidae. The record is from RNAcentral.